This 613-nucleotide ribosomal RNA is filed under the name Sporothrix schenckii. RNAcentral describes it as "partial large subunit ribosomal RNA". It matches the Rfam family "Eukaryotic large subunit ribosomal RNA", at positions 35 to 671 of the family's 3401-position model. Lineage: Eukaryota; Fungi; Ascomycota; Sordariomycetes; Ophiostomatales; Ophiostomataceae. The record is from RNAcentral.
UUUGCAUAUCCAAAAGCUGAGGAAAAGAAACCAACAGGGAUUGCCCCAGUAACGGCGAGUGAAGCGGCAACAGCUCAAAUUUGAAAUCUGGCCCCCCGGCCCGAGUUGUAAUUUGGAGAGGAUGCUUCUGGCGCGGCGCCGUCCGAGUUCCUUGGAACAGGACGCCACAGAGGGUGAGAGCCCCGUACGGACGGACGCCUAGCCUCUACGAAGCUCCUUCGACGAGUCGAGUAGUUUGGGAAUGCUGCUCAAAAUGGGAGGUAAAUUUCUUCUAAAGCUAAAUACCGGCCAGAGACCGAUAGCGCACAAGUAGAGUGAUCGAAAGAUGAAAAGCACUUUGAAAAGAGGGUUAAAAAGUACGUGAAAUUGUUGAAAGGGAAGCGCCUGUGACCAGACUUGCGCCCCGCGGACCACCCGGCGUUCUCGCCGGUGCACUCUGCGGUGCGCAGGCCAGCAUCGGUUCUCCCAGGGGGACAAAGGCCGCGGGAACGUAGCUCCUUCGGGAGUGUUAUAGCCCGCGGCGGCAUGCCCCUGGGGGGACCGAGGACCGCGCUUCGGCAAGGAUGCUGGCGUAAUGGUCACCAGCGACCCGUCUUGAACCAACGGACCAAAA